Long non-coding RNA from Formica exsecta, 2382 nucleotides. RefSeq lists it as uncharacterized. NCBI's taxonomy places the organism in Eukaryota, Metazoa, Arthropoda, Insecta, Hymenoptera, Formicidae. The transcript has 3 exons. The record is from RefSeq and is a predicted model, not a curated record.
GGAAGAGAGCGGGGGAAACCUCCGGAAGUCGAAACGUGUCGCGGCCCGGCGACGGGUGUACAGGCCGGCUCUUAUUAAAGGGAGAGAAAGGAGCGCGUCCGCAGAAUGCGCGAUCCUCGUUCGUACACGACUGGCAAACGGUCGUGCACUUUAGUACGACGAUGACCACACAACGGUACGUUGCAUUGCGUUGCACGCGCGUUAUAUCUUUUAUUUGAUCGCGCCACCAUAUGUGUGUAGCGUGAGCGAGCCGUUUAAUUGAUGAAAUUCUUUGGAUACCCGUGAACCUGGCGACAGAGGAUCCUCUUUUUAAGACACAUUAUGAGACUGCCGACCCCUCGCCGGAAUCGAUAAAUUGUGGAAUUCACGCCGCGACAUCGACACGAUCGUUGAUAAUAAAACCGCACGAUCGUUUAUUCUGAUUUCUAUUUUUUACAGUUUCCUUAGAUUUAUCUCAAAGAUUAUAAAUAUUCGAAGAAUAAAUUUGUAAAAGAAAGAGCGCGGGAAAAAAUAUGAUAAUUGUUCGCUAAAUAUGUAUGAGAAUUUCAACAAACGAAGCGGAAUGAUCGGCUGUCGCUGUAACUGCAUUUGAGGAUUAAAUUUCUCAAUUACCAACGAGUGUGACGGGAUGGAAUGGGAAGUAGAAUGCAAACAGAAGGAGCAAAUUAAACCGCUAGAGUUAAAUGUAAUUCCGCAAAACAUUAUUUAGCUCUCAACUACUAUGGCGGAAUUAAAUCUGGUAGCAGUGCAAUAUACUUCAUAGAGUAUCACACAAGAGUACGAAAUUGUUUUCAUCUUAUUAUUUUAUUAACUUCUUCAUAACUUUAUGCGUAACUGUCUAUUUAGUAAAGAUAAAAAAAGUAGAAUAAAAGUGAUUUUUCAACCAAGAUGGGGAUGAUUAAAUAAAUCAUCAAUUAAAUUUAGACGUAUACGAAAAUUGGUCUUGUUCUCCGGUAUUAUAUAUCGACACCGCCGAAACUUUCAGCGAUAGUAUUUCGCUUUAAUAUUUUAGGUAUUUCAGGUACGCUCAAAAUUUCAAGCUUGAGGCCACCCUAAUGUAAGUAUAUAUAGUUUCUAACCAGAGACUUCAAGAAAUUCCGAUAACGUGUGGGUACCUACAGCUUGAAGACUAUGGCGUGAACGGCGUAGUGAAACAACUGCAAGGCAAAGAAAUUCAUCUCCUGUUCGUUGACUUACAAAAAGUUAAUAAUAAUGUUUCGAUAAAGAUGCUAUGAGAGUAUUUGCAGAAUGACGAACUUCAACCAAUAUGUCCUCAGAGCUUUACAAAAUCUUUAUAAAGAGCUCUAAAACAACAGUGAAGAACGGAAGCGACGAACUUUUAUAAUUAGAAAAACGCUCUACCAGAGGGAACAUAAAUGUAAGGGGAUGGAAAUAGAAUUGGAUGACGACACUUUCCGUAUACCCUCCAGUUUGCUGAUGAUCAAUGAUAUGUACAGGAAACCGAGAUGAUUUGGAAUACAUGGCGAGAAAAUUGAAAAAAAGAAUAUAAGAUGGGGACUUACAAUGAACAUCAAAAAAACAAAAUAUCUUUGCAUAGGGAAUGGAAUCACUAACAUAUAAAUGGAUGGAAAUGAAGAAAUAGCAAUAUGGGAGGAAUAUAAAUACCUGCGAAUUAUAUUUGACAAACAAGGAACGAAUAAUAAAGAGAUCAGAACAAGGAUAAAGGAGUAAAGAAAUUGGAAAGAAAAAGAGACUUUACAUAUAUAAAACAAUGAUAAAAAGUGAACUACUAUACGAAAGUGAAAAAUGAAAAUUAACUGAAAGCACAAAACGAAAACUAGAAGCUAUGUAAAUGGAUGUACUAAGAAAAUCGGCAAAAAUAUCAAGAUUAGAUAGAAUGCGAAAUGAAGAAAUAAAAAGAAUAAUGGACAUGGAAGGAUCUAUCGUGGAUAUGGAAUGGAAACAACUGGUGUGAUAUGGACAUGUAUAUAGAAAGAAUUAAUGAUGAGAGACUAUCGCACAAAAAGCAGUAGGAAAAGAGGAAGACCAAAGAAAAACUGGAAAAAAAGAAUCAGGAAAAUAAUGAGUACCAAAAAUUUAAAUGAGAAUGACUGAAAAGAUCGAAGAAGAUGAAAACUGGGCAUCAAGUAGCAGCGAAAGACGCUAUAAACGCUAUAAAGAAUAUAUAUAUUAUAUACUUUUAUUUUAUCAUCAAAACAUUUCAAAUAUAUCAAUGCUAAAGAAAAAAAGAAUGUCAAAAAACAUGUCUUUAUAAUAUUCAAGAAGCAUGUCCGUUCAAGUGGUUCUUUUAUUAUUUUUAUGUUAAUCACUAAUAAUAAUCUAUAAAAGAGACUGUAGCAAUUGACUGGUACUUGGCUUUGUACGGAUUACUGAAGCCACAUAAUAAAACUUUUCUACGAA